Long non-coding RNA from Manis javanica (Malayan pangolin), 738 nucleotides. RefSeq lists it as uncharacterized. The record is from RefSeq and is a predicted model, not a curated record. Lineage: Eukaryota; Metazoa; Chordata; Mammalia; Pholidota; Manidae.
GAAAGGAAGCCGGGAGCGCGGGCGGGAGAGGGAGGGGGUGCUUAAAGGGGCCGCGGCCGCUGCCAGGCCAGAGGGGGCAGUGUCGCCUGCGGCCCCCGCCAUCCCUCUGGCGCUCUCCUGGCAGGAUAAGUCACCCUCACAGUACCAUCCUCUUCACUCUAGAACUGGAGAGUGGCCCACGGAGCGUGGGUCCAGGGACAGUGACCCCUGGGAUCAAGGAAGAAAGUGGAGUCACACCCUUUCUGACUGCACACCGUCAACAAUAUGGACGCCCAGGUGCCAGAGAGGUCGUGCAGCGUAUCCCUCUGCCUCCGGGCUAAAAAUACAUCUAUGCCUCUUUCAUGCUUCUAUCUGAGCAGUUUUUAAAGACCUCCCAAGGAGUGACCACUGUGCGCGUGUGCAGUAAUAUCCAUUUGGCAUAUGCCUUGUAUACAUCCACGGUGUUUCUGAGCACCAGAGGCCUCCCCUCCCCCCACAGCCAGUGCUAAGCUGGUGGGUCUUCUGCAAGCAAAGAUACGGGGCGGGGGACACGAGACGACACGGCGGGGGAGGGACACGAGUCGGGACACACCACCUGCCGCCCUGUGCUGCAUCCACACCAAGGAGUCUUUGGGCUUGGUAGCCCCAACCCUGGCUAUGUGAGGGGCUGGGAGCACAGCCCAAGAGUGGUGGCCGCCCGAUCGACCCCCAGCUAUGGAAUUUCAUUUAUUAAAUAUCGAGGAGGCUGUUGGCAGCCCC